CCUACGGGGAGCAGCAGUAGGGAAUCUUCCACAAUGGGCGAAAGCCUGAUGGAGCAACGCCGCGUGGGUGAAGAAGGUCUUCGGAUCGUAAAACCCUGUUGUUAGAGAAGAAAGUGCGUGAGAGUAACUGUUCACGUUUCGACGGUAUCUACCCAGAAAGCCACGGCUAACUACGUGCCAGCAGCCGCGGUAAUACGUAGGUGGCAAGCGUUAUCCGGAUUUAUUGGGCGUAAAGGGAACGCAGGCGGUCUUUUAAGUCUGAUGUGAAAGCCUUCGGCUUAACCGGAGUAGUGCAUUGGAAACUGGGAGACUGGAGUGCAGAAGAGGAGAGUGGAACUCCAUGUGUAGCGGUGAAAUGCGUAGAUAUAUGGAAGAACACCAGUGGCGAAAGCGGCUCUCUGGUCUGUAACUGACGCUGAGGUUCGAAAGCGUGGGUAGCAAACAGGAUUAGAUACCCCUGUAGUC
RNAcentral lists this ribosomal RNA (465 nucleotides) under uncultured bacterium. Its description in RNAcentral is "partial 16S ribosomal RNA". It matches the Rfam family "Bacterial small subunit ribosomal RNA", at positions 338 to 795 of the family's 1533-position model. The record is from RNAcentral.